UACGUAGGUGGCAAGCGUUGUCCGGAUUUACUGGGCGUAAAGAGCGCGCAGGCGGUCGUUUAAGUCGAAUGUGAAAGCCCCCGGCUCAACUGGGGAGGGUCAUUCGAUACUGAUCGACUUGAAGGCAGGAGAGAGAGGUGGAAUUCCCGGUGUAGUGGUGAAAUGCGUAGAUAUCGGGAGGAACACCAGUGGCGAAGGCGACUUCUUGGCCUGUUCUUGACGCUGAGGCGCGAAAGCUGGGGGAGCAAACGGG
RNAcentral lists this ribosomal RNA (253 nucleotides) under uncultured bacterium. RNAcentral describes it as "partial 16S ribosomal RNA". It matches the Rfam family "Bacterial small subunit ribosomal RNA", at positions 524 to 776 of the family's 1533-position model. The record is from RNAcentral.